RNAcentral lists this ribosomal RNA (497 nucleotides) under uncultured bacterium. RNAcentral's name for it is "partial 16S ribosomal RNA". It matches the Rfam family "Bacterial small subunit ribosomal RNA", at positions 28 to 507 of the family's 1533-position model. The record is from RNAcentral.
GAUGAACGCUGGCGGCGUGCCUAAUACAUGCAAGUCGAGCGAACAGAUGCGGAGCUUGCUCCUCUGACGUUAGCGGCGGCCGGGUGAGUAACACGUGGAUAACCUACCUAUAAGACUGGGAUAACUUCGGGAAACCGGAGCUAAUACCGGGUAAUAUAUUGAACCGCAUGGUUCAAUAGUGAAAGACGGGUUUGCUGUCACUUAUAGAUGGUUCCGAGCCGCAUUAGCUAGUUGGUAAGGUAACGGCUUACCAAGGCAACGAUGCGUAGCCGACCUGAGAGGGUGAUCGGCCACACUGGAACUGAGACACGGUCCAGACUCCUACGGGAGGCAGCAGUAGGGACUCUUCCGCAAUGGGCGAAAGCCUGACGGAGCAACGCCGCGUGAGUGAUGAAGGUCUUCGGAUCGUAAAACUCUGUUAUUAGGGAAGAACAAAUGUGUAAGUAACUAUGCACGUCUUGACGGUACCUAAUCAGAAAGCCACGGCUAACUACGUG